This 20-nucleotide ribosomal RNA is filed under the name Cucurbitariaceae sp. MUT 4403. RNAcentral describes it as "partial 18S ribosomal RNA". The record is from RNAcentral. Lineage: Eukaryota; Fungi; Ascomycota; Dothideomycetes; Pleosporales; Cucurbitariaceae.
UUUUAUCGGGGGGACUACGG